CCUACGGGUGGCAGCAGUGGGGAAUAUUGGACAAUGGGGGCAACCCUGAUCCAGCGACGCCGCGUGUGUGAAGAAGGCCUGCGGGUUGUAAAGCACUUUUAGUGGGGAGGAAAACCCCUGACCUAAUACGUCAGGAAUUGACUUAACCCAAAGAAAAAGCACCGGCUAACUCUGUGCCAGCAGCCGCGGUAAUACAGAGGGUGCAAGCGUUAAUCGGAAUUACUGGGCGUAAAGCGUGCGUAGACGGUUAUUUAAGUCGGAUGUGAAAUCCCCGGGCUCAACCUGGGAAUUGCAUUCGAUACUGAACAGCUAGGGUGCGGAAGAGGGAAGCGGAAUUUCCGGUGUAGCGGUGAAAUGCGUAGAUAUCGGAAGGAACAUCAGUGGCGAAAGCGGCUUCCUGGUCCAGCACCGACGUUCAGGCACGAAAGCGUGGGGAGCAAACAGGAUUAGAUACCCUUGUAGUC
Molecule: ribosomal RNA, 464 nt
Filed under: uncultured bacterium
Lineage: Bacteria
Description: bacterial SSU rRNA
Rfam family: Bacterial small subunit ribosomal RNA
Source: RNAcentral